UCCACAGCAGCUGCAGGUUGCUGGGUAGGCCCUGUAGACAGACAAACAUGCCCAUCGGAAGUUAAAUACUCCAAACCCUGUAUAGGAGACUCCAUACAGAAUAUAUGCAGCAAGAGGUAAUUUGACACAAAAUUCAAAAACUGCAGUUGCCCUUGUUUGCUUGCACAUGAAUGACAAUUACCCCCCAUCAAAAUCAGAGUGAUGAACGGAACUGUGUAGAUACCUGUAGUCACAGCUAUCACCUCCCAAGCAGAAAAAGCAUGCCCGGGAGUCGAACUCAGGUCGGAACUAGGAUACUUGCCUAAAACCAACCCAUUCUAUCGUGACUUCCCCAGCUGGGAACAUCUCACCAUUCCAAAGUCUUAGUUCCGUGUAUCAGCUAGUAACCAACAUACUUCCUCAACGGCUUCUUCCUGUUUAAAGCUGGGUAGUUGCCUUAAUCAACCUGUUACAUCAUGAUUUCCCCCAGAGAACAACUCACCAGUGGUCACUAUUCACGUGUCAUGCCCUGUGAUAUGAGCCAGUAGCCAACAUAUGCCUCCAUCCUCAAUGGCUUCCAAACCGGCACCCAUAUCUCAGGCAGAGCGGCAUCAUGCUUAU
This 600-nucleotide long non-coding RNA is filed under the name Volvox carteri. Its description in RNAcentral is "long non-coding RNA (VCAR_LNC003920)". Lineage: Eukaryota; Viridiplantae; Chlorophyta; Chlorophyceae; Chlamydomonadales; Volvocaceae. The record is from RNAcentral.